Molecule: ribosomal RNA, 451 nt
Filed under: uncultured bacterium
Lineage: Bacteria
Description: bacterial SSU rRNA
Rfam family: Bacterial small subunit ribosomal RNA
Source: RNAcentral
AGCGGCGGACGGGUGAGUAACGCGUAGGAAUCUACCCAGUAGUGGGGGACAACUUGGGGAAACUCAAGCUAAUACCGCAUACGCCCUACGGGGGAAAGCGGGGGCUCUUCGGACCUCGCGCUAUUGGAUGAGCCUGCGUCGGAUUAGCUAGUUGGUGGGGUAAAAGCUCACCAAGGCGACGAUCCGUAGCUGGUCUGAGAGGAUGAUCAGCCACACUGGAACUGAGACACGGUCCAGACUCCUACGGGAGGCAGCAGUGGGGAAUAUUGCGCAAUGGGGGCAACCCUGACGCAGCCAUGCCGCGUGUGUGAAGAAGGCCUUAGGGUUGUAAAGCACUUUCAAUUGGGAAGAAAAGCUGAUGCUUAAUACGUAUCAGCCCUGACAUUACCUUUAGAAGAAGCACCGGCUAACUCCGUGCCAGCAGCCGCGGUAAUACGGAGGGUGCGAGCGU